This 374-nucleotide ribosomal RNA is filed under the name uncultured bacterium. Its description in RNAcentral is "bacterial SSU rRNA". It matches the Rfam family "Bacterial small subunit ribosomal RNA", at positions 524 to 898 of the family's 1533-position model. The record is from RNAcentral.
UACGAAGGGGGCUAGCGUUGCUCGGAAUUACUGGGCGUAAAGGGCGCGUAGGCGGACAGCUUAGUCAGAGGUGAAAGCCCAGGGCUCAACCUUGGAACUGCCUUUGAUACUGGCUGUCUUGAGUUUGGGAGAGGUGUGUGGAACUCCGAGUGUAGAGGUGAAAUUCGUAGAUAUUCGGAAGAACACCAGUGGCGAAGGCGACACACUGGCCCAAUACUGACGCUGAGGCGCGAAAGCGUGGGGAGCAAACAGGAUUAGAUACCCUGGUAGUCCACGCCGUAAACGAUGAGUGCUAGUUGUCGGCAUGCAUGCAUGUCGGUGACGCAGCUAACGCAUUAAGCACUCCGCCUGGGGAGUACGGUCGCAAGAUUAAA